GGUGUUGGAUACGAGGUGUUAAACUUUAACAAUGUCACAUCGAAUGUUCGGAUGCUAAUUAGGAGGAUUAAUGGGGUGUUUGGAUCCUGGAGCUAAAGUUUAAUCCGUGUCACAUCAAAUAUUCGGAGACUAAUUAGGAGGACUAAAUAUGACUAAUUAUACCGAUGGAGGCUAAACGGUGAGAUAAAUCUAUUAAGCCUAAUUAAUCCAUCAUUAGCAAAUAGUUAUUGUAGCAGCGCAUUGUCAGUCAUGGACUAAUUAGGCUUAAUAGAUUCGUCUCGCAGUUUAGCCUCCAUCUGUGC
This 302-nucleotide long non-coding RNA is filed under the name Setaria italica (foxtail millet). RNAcentral's name for it is "long non-coding RNA (SITA_LNC001359)". The record is from RNAcentral. Lineage: Eukaryota; Viridiplantae; Streptophyta; Magnoliopsida; Poales; Poaceae.